AGUGAACGCUGGCGGUAGGCCUAACACAUGCAAGUCGAACGGCAGCACAGUAAGAGCUUGCUCUUACGGGUGGCGAGUGGCGGACGGGUGAGGAAUACAUCGGAAUCUACUUUUUCGUGGGGGAUAACGUAGGGAAACUUACGCUAAUACCGCAUACGACCUACGGGUGAAAGCAGGGGAUCUUCGGACCUUGCGCGAUUGAAUGAGCCGAUGUCGGAUUAGCUAGUUGGCGGGGUAAAGGCCCACCAAGGCGACGAUCCGUAGCUGGUCUGAGAGGAUGAGCAGCCACACUGGGACUGAGAGACGGCCCAGAGUCCUACGGGAGGCAGCAGUGGGGAAUAUUGGAGAAAGGGGGCAAAGCCGAUCCACACCCGCCGCGUGUGGGAAGAAGGCCUUUGGGGUGUAAAACGCCUUUUUUUGGGAAGAAAAAAUCUGGGGUUAAACCCCCGGGGGUUGAGGGGACCCCAAAAAAAAACACCGGCGAACUACGUG
RNAcentral lists this ribosomal RNA (492 nucleotides) under uncultured bacterium. RNAcentral's name for it is "partial 16S ribosomal RNA". It matches the Rfam family "Bacterial small subunit ribosomal RNA", at positions 29 to 507 of the family's 1533-position model. The record is from RNAcentral.